ACUUAGUGGCCGAGUGGGUAACGCGAUGGCGUUUGAAGCCAAAGGUACAAGGUUCGACUCCCAGAGUGA
RNAcentral lists this transfer RNA (69 nucleotides) under Schistosoma mansoni. Lineage: Eukaryota; Metazoa; Platyhelminthes; Trematoda; Strigeidida; Schistosomatidae. The record is from RNAcentral.